UGGCACUUUGCUAUAACAGCCCAAAUGGACUAAGAAUGUAUGAUGAGCAGGUCAGAAGAAAGAGAAACACAUAGAUCAGGGAGCAUUCAUAAUCUAGAGCAGCAGGUUGCAAACCAAUCAGACUUGCACUCUUGUGAUGAUGUAAAUUCCUCACUGAAGGCCAUGGGAGCAAAGAAAAGAAAGAGGAAAGCCAAGGAGGGGAUGCUACAACUGGAAGAGAGACACAGACAAGCAGGAUGCUAAGUUAAUCAUACUAGUCUAGGCCAUGGGCCAGUGGCUGAGGAAAAGAAGACCCCACAUUUCCUUUUAAGAAAAUGAAAAUAGUUUUCAUAUAGUUUGGCCUUUUGGUUAAUCAUGUUACAUAAAUUUAAAAGUGUAUCUAGAACAUUGCCUCAUCAUGAGAAGCUACUGAUGGAACAGAUUGAUGAAGUGGGAACAAUGUUCAUCAGUCUCCAUGUCUGGGGCUUGGAAUUAGCCAUCACAGACAUGAGGACACAAGCCCUUUGCAUUUGGCACAAAUCUCCUGUUCUGUUUCCCUGCAUUGGGUCUACAGGCCAAAUGUCUUGAAGACAAAAAUCAGUGAUGAAGGCCAAUUGUCAGAGGGAUGGCUGUUUUCAGUGCUAUUGUUAUGACAACUCUGACUUCCAAGAGGAUUAUUAAGAAAAAAGGCCAUCUCUUUGAAAUCUACAUCAAGUUGUUAAGGCAACAAACCCAGGAUUAAAUCUGGAAAUGUUUGCUCUGCCACCCCCUUCCUCUACCCUAUGAUCUAUUUCACAUGUUCUUGUUGUUGGUGCCAGCUAACAGAUCAUUGCUACAUCUCUGCCACCUCGUGCCAGCAAUCAGAGACAAAGUGUGGAUUGAAAUGGCAUGGCCAUGUGCAUUUGUGUGUAUGUUACAUGAGUAGGUCUGUGGGUUUGUGUGCAACUCUGGAAACAGUUCAUCAAAUUUCCCCCUUAAUUUUCUUUGUCAUAUUUAACCAAAGAGACAGCAGUUCCUUAUCUAGAUUAAAGAAAGGACAUCGAGAAAAGUUCAGCUGCACUUAGUGGAUUUCAGCAGAUGCCUGGCUUCCAAAUCUGGGUGAAUCACCUUGAGGGGUGAUUUUUUGGCUGUACAGAUGACUUAGUCCAACCAGACCAACUCAAUUAGAAGCUCAGGAAGUAGAGCUCUGGAGCCUGAUUUUCAACCAUCCCACCAGCCAUUUGGGAUGGCUUCCUCGGGACCUCCUCUUCAGGAAAUCACUGCCUUAGGGCAUUCCAUCCUUGCUCUGUAAGAAAUACCAAGUGAUUUUCAAGAGUUGCAGGAAUGUUCCUGGCAAGGCCUGUAAGAAAAGGGAGCAUCUCACCUUGAUUGCUGGCCUGGUCUCUGAUGGACACCAGCUCCACCCACUGCUCCCAAUGCUGCAGCCAGCUCUGCCUGUGCCCAGCCAGAAACACCUCUUUCUGCCACAUACUGGAAGCAAGGGAGGAAGGUGUCCUGGCAAGUCAAUUUCCAAGAAAUUCCAGCUCUUGGCCUCCUUGGUACCCAAGGAAGACCUCUUUGAAAAUGUGACAUCAAAGCUGAAACCCAACGAUUCAAAGGAGCCAUCCAGAUAGAAGAGGGUAAGUGCACCAGAGGAAAAAACAUAUGCCAAGGACCUGAGACAGGGAACUUGACCUAUUUAGGGAAAUGAGAAAAGACCAACCUGGUUGGACCUCAUGGAGAGGAGGCCGGUGAGUGGGCUGGUGAAAUAUUUUGAAAGAUGCCAAUAAACACUG
Long non-coding RNA from Suricata suricatta (meerkat), 1754 nucleotides. RefSeq lists it as uncharacterized. The record is from RefSeq and is a predicted model, not a curated record. NCBI's taxonomy places the organism in Eukaryota, Metazoa, Chordata, Mammalia, Carnivora, Herpestidae. The transcript is spliced from 3 exons.